Molecule: long non-coding RNA, 589 nt
Filed under: Phoenix dactylifera (date palm)
Lineage: Eukaryota; Viridiplantae; Streptophyta; Magnoliopsida; Arecales; Arecaceae
Description: long non-coding RNA (PDAC_LNC017692)
Source: RNAcentral
UAUAUAAAAAAAAUAAUUCAGCUGAAAUAAAUGCAAUCUUAUUCCAUUGACUGACACAAAUUAUAUAGUCUCACAGUUCUAAAUACGCAGCGGAACAAUAAAUAUAAAACAUCAAUUUAAAUAAAGCCUAUUCUAGGAUAAUUUGUGCUUCAGUUCUUCUAGUCGCUCUCCCAUUUUAAAUCCCCGAUAGGUUAGUUCUCGGAAUCUGUAAAACAACAAGAAAUUGUAUAAUGAGCUAGACAGCCCAGUAAGUAAUAAACACCUUACCUAGUCAAUUCAUAUAAUAACAUAAAAUAUAAAUACAAAUUACAAUAAAUCAACAUAAUAACAUAAUCAAUUCCUUUUCAAGCACAAAUUCAUUAAAAUUCGUAUUUUUCAAAUAUCCAUAUACAUAAUCAUAAAUCUGAUUCGAAACAAAUCACAUUCAUCUCAUCAGCCUUUAGCUACGACUACACUUAUACCCUGUGGCUAGGCCAGAAACAGAACCGCACUUAUACCCUGCGGAGUGGGCCAGAAUACCGCACUUAUACCCUACGGUGUGGGCCAGAAUACCACACUUAUACCCUGUGGUGGGGCCAGAAUUGCCAAU